This 484-nucleotide ribosomal RNA is filed under the name uncultured bacterium. RNAcentral's name for it is "partial 16S ribosomal RNA". It matches the Rfam family "Bacterial small subunit ribosomal RNA", at positions 30 to 507 of the family's 1533-position model. The record is from RNAcentral.
AUUGAACGCUGGCGGCAGGCCUAACACAUGCAAGUCGAGCGGAUGAAGGGAGCUUGCUCCUGGAUUCAGCGGCGGACGGGUGAGUAAUGCCUAGGAAUCUGCCUGGUAGUGGGGGAUAACGACCGGAAACGGGCGCUAAUACCGCAUACGUCCUGAGGGAGAAAGUGGGGGAUCUUCGGACCUCACGCUAUCAGAUGAGCCUAGGUCGGAUUAGCUAGUUGGUGGGGUAAAGGCCUACCAAGGCGACGAUCCGUAACUGGUCUGAGAGGAUGAUCAGUCACACUGGAACUGAGACACGGUCCAGACUCCUACGGGAGGCAGCAGUGGGGAAUAUUGGACAAUGGGCGAAAGCCUGAUCCAGCCAUGCCGCGUGUGUGAAGAAGGUCUUCGGAUUGUAAAGCACUUUAAGUUGGGAGGAAGGGCAGUAAGUUAAUACCUUGCUGUUUUGACGUUACCAACAGAAUAAGCACCGGCUAACUUCGUG